GUCUCUUCAAAAACAUUCAAUAAAAUUAGAACGAUAUAGUGAAGAUUAGCACGGCCGUUACACAAGGAUGACAUGCAAAAAUCAAGAAAUUUUUACCAUUAUA
RNAcentral lists this small nuclear RNA (103 nucleotides) under Amborella trichopoda. Lineage: Eukaryota; Viridiplantae; Streptophyta; Magnoliopsida; Amborellales; Amborellaceae. The record is from RNAcentral.